GAUUUUUUUUCCUAGUCAAACUUAAUUAAGUUUGACCAAGUUUAUAGAAAAAUAUAACAACAUUUUCAACACAAAACAAACAUACUAUCAAAAUAUAUUUAAUUUUAGUUCUGAUGAAACUAAUUUGGUGCAGUAGAUGUUGUUAAAUUUUUCUAUAGACUUGGUCAAACUUAAGGAAGUUUGGCUAGAAAAAAAGUCAA
Molecule: microRNA precursor, 200 nt
Filed under: Oryza rufipogon (brownbeard rice)
Lineage: Eukaryota; Viridiplantae; Streptophyta; Magnoliopsida; Poales; Poaceae
Description: MIR1435 microRNA precursor family
Rfam family: MIR1435 microRNA precursor family
Source: Rfam by way of RNAcentral